This 393-nucleotide ribosomal RNA is filed under the name uncultured bacterium. Its description in RNAcentral is "partial 16S ribosomal RNA". It matches the Rfam family "Bacterial small subunit ribosomal RNA", at positions 523 to 918 of the family's 1533-position model. The record is from RNAcentral.
AUACGGAGGAUCCGAGCGUUAUCCGGAUUUAUUGGGUUUAAAGGGAGCGUAGGUGGACAGUUAAGUCAGUUGUGAAAGUUUGCGGCUCAACCGUAAAAUUGCAGUUGAUACUGGCUGUCUUGAGUACAGUAGAGGUGGGCGGAAUUCGUGGUGUAGCGGGGAAAUGCUUAGAUAUCACGAAGAACUCCGAUUGCGAAGGCAGCUCACUGGACUGCAACUGACACUGAUGCUCGAAAGUGUGGGUAUCAAACAGGAUUAGAUACCCUGGUAGUCCACACAGUAAACGAUGAAUACUCGCUGUUUGCGAUAUACAGUAAGCGGCCAAGCGAAAGCAUUAAGUAUUCCACCUGGGGAGUACGCCGGCAACGGUGAAACUCAAAGGAAUUGACGGGG